AAAUUGUUUUGCGUCGCUCCUCUAGAUGUUCUGCUUGAUGCUGAGAUUCGAUUUCGGGGUUGCGAGAAAAACAAAUGGUUUCUCAAAAGUUCUUUCCAGUAUUUCUCUCUGCUUUCUGCUCUUAAAUCUCAAUUUAUUGCCAUUUUGAUUUUAUCUGGCGACGCUGGUUUUUAAUUUGUAGAUUGAUGAGUAAAUUUUGUUCGGCGAUGACUGAAUUUAUACAGCACUAGGCCUGAACAUGAAAAGAUUUUUAUUUUUUAUUUUAAGAUUUAUGGUUCUAUUGGCGUUUCCAAAUUUCUGGCUUAAUUUUGAAUGAGAGAUGCUGAGAUGAAUGAUUCAUAUAGAGUACAGAUGCUAACAAUUGAAACACCAUAGGCAUGCCGAAGAGAAAUACUUGUCUGCAAUCACUCUGUGGUACACAGCUUUAUUAUGAUGAUAAUUCCAUUAGGUUUUGCCAUUUCUGGUUACGGAUGUGUAGCAUAUGAAAAUGAUCAGGGCCUUGUUUCAUUCAUUCAUCCACUGUUUGUUUGGGACCUGAAAGCACAAACCAGUUGAAGCCUAGUAUGAUUUUCCUUUUAGAACAUGAGGAUGUGGGCCUCCAAUUCAUGGGUUUUUUUUUUUUAUAUAUAUAGCUUGUUGCUUCAUUCCAAAAUAUAAGGGUAUUCCAGUAUAACAUCCUUUCCUCAUUGUUUAGCAAAUUAACUAACGCCCAUGUGCUUCUCCAUCAGGUCAUGCUCCUUCUUAGCUGUCCUCACAAUUUUGGGCCACUUCCCUUCUAAUGGUUCAAUUCUUAUGCAGGAUCAGGAAAAGGGAAGCCUGACUACCUUGCUACAGUGGAUGUAGAUCCAAGCUCACCUUCUUAUUCAAAAGUUAUCCACCGGCUUCCUGUACCUUAUUUAGGGGAUGAACUACACCACUCUGGGUGGAACUCCUGCAGCUCUUGCCAUGGUGAUUCAUCACAAGAACGGCGUUUUCUUGUCCUACCUUCCUUGGUGUAAGAACUGGAAUUUAUGUUGCAUUAGGGACUACAUAUUUUAAGCUUGUAGCAGUUUAGUAAUAAUACUGGUAUGAAGAAUGAGUGCAGAGUCUAACUUUUUACUUAUUGCGAUUAAAUCUCAACUUCUAAUUCUGAAUGUCCACUAAAUGCAUGCAAAUGUUGGGAACAUCCCACAAGACUGCAAAUGGGAUCCACAAAACUGAAAGAUUUUGAAAAUUGUAACUCAGCAGUUGGUAAUUUCUGUGCCUCUGUACAGUGAUGGGUUAGUCCCUAAUUUGUUUGGUAACUAAUUUUACCUGACAGAAAGGUAUUAAUAUUUUGUAAUUUUUUUCCUCAUCCCUGAUUGCUUUAGAGUUUUAUCUUCUUUUUUUUUUCAGGUC
Molecule: long non-coding RNA, 1377 nt
Filed under: Vitis vinifera (wine grape)
Lineage: Eukaryota; Viridiplantae; Streptophyta; Magnoliopsida; Vitales; Vitaceae
Description: long non-coding RNA (VVIN_LNC001473)
Source: RNAcentral